CUUGGAUACCUGUAGUAAAUCUAGAGCUAAUACAUGCCUCUAAACCCGACUUUUUGAAGGGUGGUGUUUAUUAGAAUUUUCAAACCAAUGAUGAAGUUUACUUCAUGUUUGAUGACUCAUGAUAAAUUUACGAAUCGCAAGACUUUAUGUUGGCGAUGUAUCAAUUAAAUUUCUGCACUAUUAACUUUUGAUGUAAGUGUAUUGUACUUACAUGGUUUUGAUGGUUAACGGAGGAUUAGGGUUUGAUUCCGGAGAGGGAGCCUGAGAAAUGGCUACCACAUCCAAGGAAGGCAGCAGGCGCGCAAAUUACCCAAUCUCAAUACGAGGAGGUAGUGACAAUAAAUAACAAUGCAGGGCUUUUUAAGUCUUGCAAUUGGAAUGAGUACAAUUUAAAACCCUUAACGAGAAACAAUUGGAGGGCAGGUCUGGUGCCAGCAGCCGCGGUAAUUCCAGCUCCAAUAGCGUAUAUUUAUGUUGUUGCAGUUGAAAAGCUCGUAGUUGGAUUUGAGGUUUAGGGAUAUGGUCUCAUCUUCGGAUGUUGUACUGUAUUUCUUUAUCUUUUACAUGAGAAGGUAUUCUGUUCUUUAUUGGAUGGUUUAUUGACUCAUGUCUUUUACUUUGAAAAAAUUAGAGUGUUCAAAGCAGGCUUAUGCCUUGAAUACAUUAGCAUGGAAUAAUAAGAUAGGACUUUUGUCUAUUUUGUUGGUUUUUAUGGACUGAAGUAAUGAUUAAUAGGGGCAGUUGGGGACAUUAAUAUUUAAUUGUCAGAGGUGAAAUUCUUGGAUUUAUUAAAGAUUAACUACUGCGAAAGCAUUUGUCAAGGAUGUUUUCAUUAAUCAAGAACGAAAGUUGGGGGAUCGAAGACGAUCAGAUACCGUCGUAGUCUCAACCAUAAACUAUGCCGACGAGAAAUUAGUGAAUGUUUAUUCAUUGACUUCAUUAGCUUCUUCCGAGAAAUCAAAGUUUUUGGGUUCUGGGGGGAGUAUGGUCGCAAGGCUGAAACUUAAAGGAAUUGACGGAAGGGCACCACCAGGGGUGGAGCCUGCGGCUUAAUUUGACACAACACGGGAAAACUUACCAGGUCCAGACAUAAGAAGGAUUGACAGAUUGAGAGCUCUUUCUUGAUUUUAUGGGUGGUGGUGCAUGGCCGUUCUUAGUUGGUGGAGUGAUUUGUCUGCUUAAUUGCGAUAACGAACGAGACCUUAACCUACUAAAUAGCUACGUGAAACCUAGUUC
This 1236-nucleotide ribosomal RNA is filed under the name metagenome. RNAcentral's name for it is "SSU rRNA". It matches the Rfam family "Eukaryotic small subunit ribosomal RNA", at positions 138 to 1376 of the family's 1831-position model. The record is from RNAcentral.